RNAcentral lists this ribosomal RNA (846 nucleotides) under Bacillus altitudinis. RNAcentral's name for it is "bacterial SSU rRNA". It matches the Rfam family "Bacterial small subunit ribosomal RNA", at positions 63 to 891 of the family's 1533-position model. Lineage: Bacteria; Bacillati; Bacillota; Bacilli; Caryophanales; Bacillaceae. The record is from RNAcentral.
CGAGCGGACAGAAGGGAGCUUGCUCCCGGAUGUUAGCGGCGGACGGGUGAGUAACACGUGGGUAACCUGCCUGUAAGACUGGGAUAACUCCGGGAAACCGGAGCUAAUACCGGAUAGUUCCUUGAACCGCAUGGUUCAAGGAUGAAAGACGGUUUCGGCUGUCACUUACAGAUGGACCCGCGGCGCAUUAGCUAGUUGGUGAGGUAACGGCUCACCAAGGCGACGAUGCGUAGCCGACCUGAGAGGGUGAUCGGCCACACUGGGACUGAGACACGGCCCAGACUCCUACGGGAGGCAGCAGUAGGGAAUCUUCCGCAAUGGACGAAAGUCUGACGGAGCAACGCCGCGUGAGUGAUGAAGGUUUUCGGAUCGUAAAGCUCUGUUGUUAGGGAAGAACAAGUGCAAGAGUAACUGCUUGCACCUUGACGGUACCUAACCAGAAAGCCACGGCUAACUACGUGCCAGCAGCCGCGGUAAUACGUAGGUGGCAAGCGUUGUCCGGAAUUAUUGGGCGUAAAGGGCUCGCAGGCGGUUUCUUAAGUCUGAUGUGAAAGCCCCCGGCUCAACCGGGGAGGGUCAUUGGAAACUGGGAAACUUGAGUGCAGAAGAGGAGAGUGGAAUUCCACGUGUAGCGGUGAAAUGCGUAGAGAUGUGGAGGAACACCAGUGGCGAAGGCGACUCUCUGGUCUGUAACUGACGCUGAGGAGCGAAAGCGUGGGGAGCGAACAGGAUUAGAUACCCUGGUAGUCCACGCCGUAAACGAUGAGUGCUAAGUGUUAGGGGGUUUCCGCCCCUUAGUGCUGCAGCUAACGCAUUAAGCACUCCGCCUGGGGAGUACGGUCGCAA